Molecule: ribosomal RNA, 425 nt
Filed under: uncultured bacterium
Lineage: Bacteria
Description: bacterial SSU rRNA
Rfam family: Bacterial small subunit ribosomal RNA
Source: RNAcentral
GGGGAAUUUUGCGCAAUGGGGGAAACUUUGACGCAGCGACGCCGCGUGGAGGAUGAAGGUCUUCGGAUUGUAAACUCCUUUUGCCGGGGAACAAAUGCCAUUUGCUAAUAAUAAGUGGAGUUGAGGGUAUCUGGUGAAUAAGCAUCGGCUAACUCCGUGCCAGCAGCCGCGGUAAUAUGGAGGGUGCGAGCGUUGUUCGGAAUUAUUGGGCGUAAAGCGCGUGUAGGCGGUUGUUUAAGUUUACUGUGAAAGCUUAGGGCUCAACCCUGAAACUGCAGCGAAUACUGGAUAACUUGAGUGUCGGAGAGGAAAGCGGAAUUCCUGGUGGAGCGGUGAAAUGCGUAGAUAUCAGGAAGAACAUUAGUGGCGAAGGCGGCUUUCUGGACGGCGACUGACGCUGAGACGCGAAAGCGUGGGUAGCAAAC